Non-coding RNA from Rattus norvegicus (Norway rat), 671 nucleotides. Lineage: Eukaryota; Metazoa; Chordata; Mammalia; Rodentia; Muridae. The record is from RefSeq and is a predicted model, not a curated record.
GGGCUGAUGGGGUGGGGGCGUGGGGUGGAGUGGAGGUGCUGAAGGCAGAGGCUGCCACAUCCUACUUAUGUCUUUAAAGGACAGGGCAGACGUGAACACCUCCAGCCUGUCCCACCAGAGCCCUGAUGCAGAAGGGAGACCCAAGCCAGCCCAUACAGGCACAGUCAACACAAAGAGAGCCAAGGUGGAAGUUGGUGCAGAGCUCAGCUGGCAGGCAGAGGAGAGCCAGCAGGUUCAAAAGUUUUGAGGGGAUCAUGAGCCACUUGGGAGGCUGAGCAGGAGAGCACUGAACCCUGCAGGUGGAGGAUGGGUCCUACUUCUGAGAUUCCUACAGAACAGCAAAGACUGCCAGUCCUGUCCUGUCACCAAAGCAGAGACAGAAGCCCACAAGGAUGCACGUGUGUGUAACCACAACUCCACUUCUCCCAUGCAUGGACACCUAGGCCAUCUGUCCUAUAAUAAGCCCUCAGUAGGGGCUGGAGAGAUGGCUCAGGGGUUAAGAGCACUGACUGCUCUCCAAGAGGUCCUGAGUUCAAUUCCCAGCAACCACAUGGUGGCUCACAACCAUCUGUAAUGGGCAUCCCAUGCCCUCUUCUGCUGUGUCUGAAGAUAGCAACAGUGUACCCACAUCCAUGAAACAAAUAAAUAAAUCUUUAAAAAAAAAAAAAAAA